CACUUGGAAUUUUGGCAUUACGGCGCUAGUGACGACAAGUAUCUGACUGCACGGCAUUUCGCAGCGACAUAGACAUGAAAAACGUCCCCAGGGCACUACUCAUUGCUAUUGCGGGGGUAUUAUUUGCGAUAGAAAUCUCUGAACAAUGGACGGUUAUGGACACUAAAGCUUGGAAGAAUGGGAAGUGCUACUUCAGAGGACGAGCAUAUGAAGUUGGAGAGGCAACGUAUGAGACAAAGCAGUGCAUGAGAUGGACUUGUUUCCGAGAGAACAGCACUCAUGGCUGGAUGUCUGGUGUAGGGUGCGGAAAGGUGGCCGCAACGCCACCGUGCAAAUUGAUACCUACGAGGGAAGGUAUCAACCCGGAAUGUUGCGAGUAUGCACUGUGCGGAAACAGGCGAUUUCCCGGAUAGACUAUUGGUGCUUGAACAAAGACAAUUUGUGUGCAAGAAGCACGUUACUAUAUCGCCUCACCAGUGUUGUCUAUACUCAACAGUGUACCACUGUUCCGUAUCAGGAGUUACACCACA
Long non-coding RNA from Dermacentor albipictus, 530 nucleotides. RefSeq lists it as uncharacterized. The record is from RefSeq and is a predicted model, not a curated record. Lineage: Eukaryota; Metazoa; Arthropoda; Arachnida; Ixodida; Ixodidae.